RNAcentral lists this long non-coding RNA (855 nucleotides) under Monomorium pharaonis (pharaoh ant). Its description in RNAcentral is "uncharacterized LOC118648070". Lineage: Eukaryota; Metazoa; Arthropoda; Insecta; Hymenoptera; Formicidae. The record is from RNAcentral.
CGGACGAUCGAUGUAUCUAUGUAUAUUUUCUAAGUGAGAGUAAGAGAACGUCUAAUGACAUCUAUUACGUUUAUUUAGUGCGCAAGUAUACAAGCGCCUCGAGUUAGUUUCAAUUCAUCAACUACCAAUUGCUGAUAACAAGUGUAGAGGGAGGGAAGGAAAGGAGGAUAGGAGUGUGUGAGCUUUCUGAGAAUUUUCGUUUAAAGAGAAAUUCUGCAAUGUAACCAUCAUAUUUAUUUGUAAGAUUAGAUUCACACUAUUUGCCUCCACAUUGUUAAGUACCACAGAGGGAUAUUAUAAUUAUUCUUACAGAAAGGGACUGCCUCACACACACACACACACACACACACACACACACACACACACACACACACACACACACACACACACACACACACACACACACACACACACACACACACGUAUAAAGAUCUACAAAGAAAACUAAAAUAAAAAUUAAUGAAAUUGUAAUCUUUUCUCGUGCUCAUUUUAAUUCAUUCAUGAAUAUAAUCAUUAAGAUACAUUUGUGUAUAUAUAUAUAUUGCACACUACUAGACUAGCACCAAUAAAGUACUGGUCAUAAUGGACCACAAUUAUUAAUCAGACACAUAUAUGUAAAUACAUCAUAUACAAAUUACCAUGUGUCAAUAGAAUAUGUACACAUAUACAUAUAAUACAAUAGUCAACAUAUACAUUCAAGACAAAAAUAUUUCAACAGGAAUGAACAUUUCAAAAAAUGCCAUAUUAUCUAUUUGAAUUGUUUAAAUUUUAAUGUCAUUGUCUCAUUUGUCAUAUUCUGUUUUCAGCUUAGAGAUUUUUUCUUUCCAUCGAAAAUAUUCGUUGAAACGUAUUGCA